CCUACGGGAUGCUGCAGUGGGGAAUAUUGGACAAUGGGGGGAACCCUGAUCCAGCCAUGCCGCGUGUGUGAAGAAGGCCCUCGGGUUGUAAAGCACUUUCAGUGAGGAAGAACGCCUGGUGGUUAAUACCCAUCAGGAAAGACAUCACUCACAGAAGAAGCACCGGCUAACUCCGUGCCAGCAGCCGCGGUAAUACGGAGGGUGCGAGCGUUAAUCGGAAUUACUGGGCGUAAAGCGCGCGUAGGUGGCUUGAUAAGCCGGUUGUGAAAGCCCCGGGCUCAACCUGGGAACGGCAUCCGGAACUGUCAAGCUAGAGUGCAGGAGAGGAAGGUAGAAUUCCCGGUGUAGCGGUGAAAUGCGUAGAGAUCGGGAGGAAUACCAGUGGCGAAGGCGGCCUUCUGGACUGACACUGACACUGAGGUGCGAAAGCGUGGGUAGCAAACAGGAUUAGAUACCCCUGUAGUC
Molecule: ribosomal RNA, 465 nt
Filed under: Vreelandella stevensii
Lineage: Bacteria; Pseudomonadati; Pseudomonadota; Gammaproteobacteria; Oceanospirillales; Halomonadaceae
Description: partial 16S ribosomal RNA
Rfam family: Bacterial small subunit ribosomal RNA
Source: RNAcentral